This 609-nucleotide ribosomal RNA is filed under the name Papiliotrema laurentii. Its description in RNAcentral is "partial large subunit ribosomal RNA". It matches the Rfam family "Eukaryotic large subunit ribosomal RNA", at positions 55 to 653 of the family's 3401-position model. The record is from RNAcentral. Lineage: Eukaryota; Fungi; Basidiomycota; Tremellomycetes; Tremellales; Rhynchogastremaceae.
GGAAAAGAAACUAACAAGGAUUCCCCUAGUAACGGCGAGUGAACCGGGAAGAGCUCAAAUUUGAAAUCUGGCGUCCUCAGGGCGUCCGAGUUGUAAUCUAUAGAGGCGUUUUCCGUGCCGGACCGUGUCCAAGUUCCUUGGAACAGGAUAUCAAAGAGGGUGACAAUCCCGUACUUGACACGACGACCGGUGCUCUGUGAUACGUCUUCUACGAGUCGAGUUGUUUGGGAAUGCAGCUCAAAAUGGGUGGUGAGUUCCAUCUAAAGCUAAAUAUUGGCGAGAGACCGAUAGCGAACAAGUACCGUGAGGGAAAGAUGAAAAGCACUUUGGAAAGAGAGUUAAACAGUACGUGAAAUUGUUGAAAGGGAAACGAUUGAAGUCAGUCGUGACCGAGAGGCUCAGCCGGUUCUGCCGGUGUAUUCCCCUCGGUCGGGUCAACAUCAGUUUUGUCCGGUGGAUAAGGACGGUAGGAAGGUGGCACCCUCGGGUGUGUUAUAGCCUGCCGUCGCAUACAUCGGGUGAGACUGAGGAACGCAGCUCGCCUUUAUGGCCGGGGUUCGCCCACGUCCGAGCUUAGGAUGUUGACAUAAUGGCUUUAAACGACCCGUC